Pantherophis guttatus is the source of this 463-nucleotide long non-coding RNA. RefSeq lists it as uncharacterized. The record is from RefSeq and is a predicted model, not a curated record. Lineage: Eukaryota; Metazoa; Chordata; Lepidosauria; Squamata; Colubridae.
AUUUUUAUAUUUAGCCAUCCAAAACAAUGCUGUUUAAUACACAUGGAAUUCUUUUUACAUUGCAAGAAGUGAAGAAGAAGCUGCUGAAAGUGUAGGAUGGGGAAAGACGUAUUUAACCUUAGAGUCACCUAAGUACUGCAAAUGACUGUGGAGUCUUCUUGGCUGUAGGAUGUUGAUGAACAGAUGAACCUCCAAGUGGCCUCAAUGAUUCUCUAAAGGAAUGCAAAUGACCAACUGUCUGCAAGGAGUAUAAAUGUUUCCAUUACCCACCAUCCAGUCAGAGCUGAAGAAAGUUCUUGGAUGAGAAGUGAAACGUCUUCAAAAAAGAAAGAAAAAACAAGAAAAUCCAGUUGCCUCCUGAAAAAGCACCUUUGGGUAUCCAGUAAACCUUUCAUUUACCCAGUUAUUAUUAUGAACUGAUUUACAGUGAAUAAAACUGAUUAAACCAGAAGCUGAAAUCGGA